This 253-nucleotide ribosomal RNA is filed under the name uncultured bacterium. Its description in RNAcentral is "partial 16S ribosomal RNA". It matches the Rfam family "Bacterial small subunit ribosomal RNA", at positions 524 to 776 of the family's 1533-position model. The record is from RNAcentral.
UACGUAGGGUGCGAGCGUUGUCCGGAAUUAUUGGGCGUAAAGAGCUCGUAGGCGGCUUGUCGCGUCGGAUGUGAAAGCCCGGGGCUUAACUCCGGGUCUGCAUUCGAUACGGGCAGGCUAGAGUUCGGUAGGGGAGAUCGGAAUUCCUGGUGUAGCGGUGAAAUGCUCAGAUAUCAGGAGGAACACCGGUGGCGAAGGCGGAUCUCUGGGCCGAUACUGACGCUGAGGAGCGAAAGCGUGGGGAGCGAACAGG